This 509-nucleotide ribosomal RNA is filed under the name uncultured bacterium. Its description in RNAcentral is "bacterial SSU rRNA". It matches the Rfam family "Bacterial small subunit ribosomal RNA", at positions 791 to 1297 of the family's 1533-position model. The record is from RNAcentral.
UAGUCCACGCCGUAAACGAUGUCUACUAGCAGCUUGCCUUAUUAACAAGGUAUUUUGCGCAGCUAACGCAUUAAGUAGACCGCCUGGGGAGUACGGCCGCAAGGUUAAAACUCAAAUGAAUUGACGGGGGGCCCGCACAAGCGGUGGAGCAUGUGGUUUAAUUCGAUGCAACGCGAAGAACCUUACCAUCCCUUGACAUCCUCAGAACUUGUAAGAGAUUACUUGGUGCCUUCGGGAACUGAGAGACAGGUGCUGCAUGGCUGUCGUCAGCUCGUGUUGUGAAAUGUUGGGUUAAGUCCCGCAACGAGCGCAACCCUUAUCCUUAGUUGCCAGCGCGUAAUGGCGGGAACUCUAAGGAGACUGCCGGUGACAAACCGGAGGAAGGUGGGGACGACGUCAAGUCAUCAUGGCCCUUACGGGAUGGGCUACACACGUGCUACAAUGGCAGAUACAAAGGGUUGCGAACUCGCGAGAGCAAGCGGAUCCCAUAAAGUCUGUCGUAGUCCGGU